GGUCACUUGGGGUGUGGUCUCCUGGAGGGAGGCCUCUGAACCACACCGCUGGUGUGGUCCCCAGCAAGCUAACCUCCAUAAGCUGCGGGGUCCUCAUGUGCAAAACGUAAGAGUGGCCACCUCAGAGUCAGGAGGCCCGAAGCAGACAAUGCAUGUCACAUGUUUAGUGCUUGGCACUAAGAAAGUCCCAGGUAAAGAGGGUUGUGAGGCACGAGUCAUCUGUGGGGCAGCAGCUCUGAAGAGCAUGGCAGCAACGGAUCUGGAGGGUCUCAGCAUUGCCAACUGACCGGAAGACCCAAGAUAUCCAAGAAUUCUCUGGAAAUGAGAGUCACCCCCUCUGCUAGCCUCCAGUCAAAUCUGUCUUUUAAAAAAAUGCUCCCUGGAAACCAUCAAGAAAAUCCUUUAGGAAAUUCUGAAUAUUUAUAGAUUUUUUUUCGCAAUUUCAAUUUACAUAAAACUCACCACCCGGGAGAAAAUGCCUGAGUCAGGUUGAGAGCUGGAGCUGGUAGAUUUGUUGUGUGGGGUUAAUGUGGAGUUUUCAGUCCUCGCUGAGGCGGAAUUGCCUGAAUGAUCGUCUCUCUCUGCAUAACACUCAAACUCUAAUGGCAACAACAUGAAAUAAUAUCUCACUGGUAGAAGAAGAGGAAAGAGGAGGAGAGAAAUAAUCAAGUCUGGCCUAAGAGAAUCCAUGAUAUUGACAAAUACAUAUUUUAAUAUAGCAUACUUUCCGACAAGUGAACCCUAACGAGUCCUCCGGAUUAUCUAGACCUUUUAUGUUCAUUCUCGUGAAAAGGCAAAGCUGUUCCUCCCUAAAAGUCUGGAGGGAAAAUUAUAGAAGAUGAGACCUUCCCAGUGUUAACCCUGACCCUACAGGAGAGGAGGAACAGAGAGCAAAAAUCAAGAAUCAAGAUAGUAGGGAAAAGGAAGAAUGAACUUAGACGAGAAAGAGGCUACUGUCUCCAUAGUUGGUGGUGAUACAGCCCUGGGCGGCAAAAGGCAGCCAGCCCAGGUCUGCAGGGCCCUGCAUCCAGGAACGUGCUCAUGCCCAGUGGUAGAGCUGGGCUGCCCCCUUACCCUUCAGCUCAGACCUUGGCAAGAUGGAUAGUCAGAGCAUUUGGUCAACUUCUUCCUUGGGGACAUGAAUUCAGAGCUUCUUGGAACACACCCACCCCCUCAACUACCCUGCAAGCAAAGCAGGAUAUGAGUUUUUUAAACCCCAAUAUAUUUUGCCAAAUAAGAGAGUGUUAAUACCCCUCCCUCCCCCACUCUGCAUGAAUUGGAUUACUUAAAGCGUCUUUUCAGAGACGUCAGCAGUUUAAUAGAGGCAAUAAGUCAGGGCUGCCCUUGUGUUUUAUUUUUCUGCCAGUAUUUAGUUAAUUAAAGAAUGCAAAUUAAAACACCUUAAUUUAUAUAAUA
This 1416-nucleotide long non-coding RNA is filed under the name Equus asinus (donkey). Its description in RNAcentral is "lncRNA (ENSEASG00005026292.1)". Lineage: Eukaryota; Metazoa; Chordata; Mammalia; Perissodactyla; Equidae. The record is from RNAcentral.